AAGAUACUAGUAAAAUUGAAUAUUACACUGCCUUGUCAAGGCAGAAUUGUGGGUUAGAACCCUACGUAUUUUG
Molecule: transfer RNA, 73 nt
Filed under: Brycon henni
Lineage: Eukaryota; Metazoa; Chordata; Actinopteri; Characiformes; Bryconidae
Description: tRNA-Asp
Rfam family: tRNA
About the family: Transfer RNA (tRNA) molecules are approximately 80 nucleotides in length. Their secondary structure includes four short double-helical elements and three loops (D, anti-codon, and T loops).
Source: RNAcentral